Molecule: long non-coding RNA, 1981 nt
Organism: Electrophorus electricus (electric eel)
Lineage: Eukaryota; Metazoa; Chordata; Actinopteri; Gymnotiformes; Gymnotidae
Source: RefSeq, a predicted model, not a curated record
CCGAACCCUCGCCUCGGCCAUUCUGGACAAUCAUUUCAGAGGGAGCGAGAUCGGAGGAAAAAGGCUGGGCAGCUGGACAGGGUCUGGGGCAUGGUGGAGUCUUUGUGUCCAUCCACACCCCCCUCCCCCUUUCCUUCUGGGAGAGGGAAGAAGGUGAAAGAAGGAAAUAGGAAGAGACACAGAGAGAGAAAACCACUCCAUCUGUUUUCUCUCCCGCAGCGCUGGAGCUACUCUACGGCUGCCCUCCAGCAGAGAGAGAGAGAGCGAGAGAGAGAGAGAGAGAUGUAGGGGCAAAGAAAAGAAAGGCACAGGAGGAGAGGAGGAGAAAGCGAGAGAAUGAGAGAGAGGGCUUCCAUUUGUAGCCUUGCACACUGUAAAAACAUCCUGCAUGUACAGAGAAAAACACCAAAUUAUGCUUACAGGGCAUUUAUAUUCACUUAAAUGGAUAUACUUUAACUAAUUAUUAAAAAAUCUGAAAAUCAAAACAUUCCUGGAAGCCUAUAAAAUUUACUCCCCUCAGGCAGCCGGUCCAGAGUCCCAGUGACCUAAAAUCCCACAUCAUCACUCAGAGUGACAAUCAGUCUGACCACACACUCGCUCAGAAAAUCAGACCAACAUCACUGACCACAAUCAGUCUGACCACACACUCGCUCAGAAAAUCAGACCAACAUCACUGACCACAAUCAGUCUGACCACACACUCGCUCAGAAAAUCAGACCAACAUCACUGACCACAAUCAGUCUGACCACACACUCGCUCAGAAAAUCAGACCAACAUCACUGACCACAAUCAGUCUGACCAUACAUUCGCUCAGAAAAUCAGACCAACAUCACUGACCACAAUCAGUCUGACCACACACUCGCUCAGAAAAUCAGACCAACAUCACUGACCACAAUCAGUCUGACCACACACUUGCUCAGAAAAUCAGACCAACAUCACUGACCACAAUCAGUCUGACCAUACAUUCGCUCAGAAAAUCAGACCAACAUCACUGACCACAAUCAGUCUGACCAUACAUUCACUCAGAAAAUCAGACCAACAUCACUGACCACAAUCAGUCUGACCAUACAUUCGCUCAGAAAAUCAGACCAACAUCACUGACCGCAAUUAGUCUGACCACACACACUCAAAAAAUCAGACCAACAUCACUGACCACAAUCAGUCUGACCACACACUCGCUCAGAAAAUCAGACUGAACCUACACACCACCACCACAAACGUGGCCCUAAAUUGAGAUUCCACAUUAGCGCCCUACCUAACAACCAUCAAAGAGAAGAAAGCGGGGCAGACGUAGGCUGUGUCCAGAGGGAGGACGGUCUAGCCGGCACAGAGACGCCAGACUGGGAGAGAACAGUGAACUGAUCACACACGCAGCAGGACAUGUGACUGCCUGUCCUAACCAGGGGGACAACCAGCUUUUCCAUUUAACUGGAACAGGCAGAUGCAAAUUAUGCCUGCCUCCAUGAACCUCCAUUUAGAGGUGGGCGGGGCAGAGGCCUGCCAUGCUAUCUGCCUUUAACCCCAACCCAAGGGGACAGAGACAGAUCUAGAGUCUGCCCUGACACCGGCCCUGGUGAUACCAAUCUUUAUGAUCAGGAUGUCCACUCUGACCCCAGCAGUGAGGAUAGCACUGGCUGUCUCGCUACUGUCUGCACCCAAUCCAAUGAUUAGCACAAAUCACCUCGUCUGCAGAUCUGGAAUCGACCGCACCCAGCAGGGCCCUGAUUACGACUCUUACAAGGUGUCUACCCAAACUGAUGAGAGAUCAGCGAAUAAGGGCCAAGAUGUUUCCUGUGCCUAAGGGCUGGGGAGGAACUACCGCACCCAUCUAUUUAGCAUGAGAAUCCACAGAAACCGUUUUUUCUUUAUCUACAGAUCUGGGAUCAGGCAAAAGCCCAACAGUUCCCGCUAGAAUGAAUGCCUCUAAUGUUUGGGCACAAGGAUGAAAGUGGUUGGAUGCAAAUGUAUUGUUCAUGAGGCG